Molecule: ribosomal RNA, 439 nt
Filed under: uncultured bacterium
Lineage: Bacteria
Description: partial 16S ribosomal RNA
Rfam family: Bacterial small subunit ribosomal RNA
Source: RNAcentral
CUACGGGAGGCUGCAGUGAGGAAUAUUGCACAAUGGGGGGAACCCUGAUGCAGCAACGCCGCGUGGAGGAUGACGCAUUUCGGUGUGUAAACUCCUUUUAUAUGUCAAGAAAAUGACGGUAGCAUAUGAAUAAGCACCGGCUAACUCCGUGCCAGCAGCCGCGGUAAUACGGAGGGUGCAAGCGUUACUCGGAAUCACUGGGCGUAAAGGACGCGUAGGCGGGCUUGUAAGUCAGGUGUGAAAUCCUACAGCUUAACUGUAGAACUGCACUUGAAACUACGAGCCUAGAGUAUGGGAGGGGGAGAUGGAAUUAGUGGUGUAGGGGUAAAAUCCGUAGAUAUCACUAGGAAUACCUAAAGCGAAGGCGAUCUCCUGGAACAUAACUGACGCUAAGGCGUGAAAGCGUGGGGAGCAAACAGGAUUAGAUACCCUUGUAGUC